GAGGGGUGCCACUGCUGUGUAUGAGCUCAUUAGGAGAUAACCUAGAAUCAGUGCAGUCUCUGAAGAGUCUUCUUGCACCUUCAUAGAGAUACAUUGAACCAUGGGCGGAACUACCAUUAGGCAAGGGGAGACAGUUGUCUGAGGGCCCCAUUGCCUGGAGGGCCCCCCCCAGAGACACCUCACAUGACUCCCCAUUGCCCCCUGCCCCCUCAGCCACUUGCCCUGUUCGCCCUCUCUCCUGCUUGUCCUCCUGGCCUGCAAUCUAAAGCAGGGGACAACCUGCUAGGAGCUCCUUUUCUCCCCGUCCCUUAGCUGAUCGGCCGGUGGGAGGGGCUUGCAGGGAGGCCUCCAUGUAGGCCUCGCUGAAGCCUGAGCUUGAGUAGGCCAUCAGGCCCCAAGAAGGAAGGAGGCUGGCAGCCACCACAGUACUCUGCAGCAGACACUCUGCCCAGGCCAGACAGCUCAGCCUUUGCCAGGUGCAGUUAAAGGCUUCAAGGACCCCAACGGUCAACUCCUGGGAACCUUCAGCAUCCUGCCAGGGGAGUCGUGGUCAUCAUGAUGGAAAGGCCUUCUCUUCUGUGCUGUGGCCCACUUCAUCAAGUGAAAAAAAGGCACCAGAACAGGACCAUGAAAGAUUUGGGGGACAAGUGGUGUUUCCUUUGAUCUAUCUGGUGUAAUGUCAAGAUGCGUAAAGAUAAAGCAGGAUCCAGCAAGGAAACAGCGGACUUUGAAAGAAGAAGGACCAGGCGGGCCAUAUACUGCUUCCCUACCCUGAGGAAAAUCCCAUUAUCCACUUCCAAAUGAAAUUGGCACCACUGAAUAGGACUAGAUCAGAAAUAAGAAGGGUCCAUAUACUAACUUUGGUAUUUCAGGAGGACCACCCCACUUCUGCCAGCGGCCCUGAGACACUUGCAUAACCCCCUUCAGUAUCCGGCCCCGGGACAGUCCCGUACCCCCCUUCUGCAGCCGGCCCCGGGACAGUCCCGUACCCCCCUUCUGCAGCCGGCCCCGGGACAGUCCCGUACCCCCCUUCUGCAGCCGGCCCCGGGACAGUCCCGUACCCCCCUUCUGCAGCCGGCCCCGGGACAGUCCCGUACCCCCCUUCUGCAGCCGGCCCCGGGACAGUCCCGUACCCCCCUUCUGCAGCCGGCCCCGGGACUGUCCCGUACCCCCCUUCUGCAGCCGGCCCCGGGACUGUCCCGCACCCCCCUUCUGCAGCCGGCCCCGGGACUGUCCCGCACCCCCCUUCUGCAGCCGGCCCCGGGACUGUCCCGCACCCCCCUUCUGCAGCCGGCCCCGGGACUGUCCCGCACCCCCCUUCUGCAGCCGGCCCCGGGACUGUCCCGCACCCCCCUUCUGCAGCCGGCCCCGGGACUGUCCCGCACCCCCCUUCUGCAGCCGGCCCCGGGACUGUCCCGCACCCCCCUUCUGCAGCCGGCCCCGGGACUGUCCCGCACCCCCCUUCUGCAGCCGGCCCCGGGACUGUCCCGCACCCCUCUCUUCUGCAUUCAGCCCCGGGACACUCCCGCACCCCUCUCUUCUGCAUUCAGCCCCGGGACACUCCCGCACCCCUCCCUUCUGCAUUCAGCCCCGGGACACUCCCGCACCCCUCCCUUCUGCAGCCGGCCCCGGGACACUCCCACACCCCCUUCUGCAAAUGGCCACAAUUCAGUCCUGCCCCCCCAUGAUUUCCCUCAGGGUAGGGAUUAAAAUGCUGGCCAAGAAACGAGAACUCCUGCAGAAGUUACUACAGCCAGAAAAGGCAAGGGAAAUGCAGAAUCCCAGGAGGACGGGGCAGCUCUAGAUGGAACAUAUGCAGUCGGUGUCCCAGAAGUGGAAAAUGCUGUUGAGAUUAAGGCUGUCUUACCGAAGGACCCACCUCAUGGCUGAACCAAGGUUAUAGUCAGUAUCAGUUACUGGUUUUGUAUUUUUGUUUUUGAACUGCUUGUUUCCUUUCCCCGUAUUUCCCAAUUUGGGUGCAAAGACAUGGUGAACCCAAUUUGGGGAUGGAUCCUCAGAAGUCUUGGAUGUGGGUGUGUCUGGGGAGUAAAGGGGCUAUGCAGAAGGGAUUGGCUGCAUCCAAGUUCCAAUUCUGUGGAGGGCUGGAGAAGACAAGAGUUGGACCAAGCCAGGAUGGGUGGGGAGCUUGGGAGGAGAGUGGGGCAGUGGAGGUGGGGCAGCCCUACUGGACUCCAUGGGACACUGGUGUGCUGCCCUCCUCUGCUUCCAUUUAUAUAUAAGGUGUGGGGGGGUUAAGCUGAUGAUAAGCCUUUUAUUUCAUAUAUUUAAAAAUGUUUCUACCUUUUAUAUUCAAACUGCUCUUUGUUAAGACACCCCGGGGUGGUGUGCAGCCCAUCGGAUCCCUAGCAGGGAGCAGUGCAUUCUUGUAAUUAAUUUCAGUAGAUCCCAGUUAUUAAUUCCAAAGUGGGGCUUCCCCCCAGUUUCUGGGAAGAUAAAGCACCCCAUCCAGUGACAGCACAAACACCUUUCCACUGCCGGACACUUUCCAGAUUACAGUUACAACCACCGUAAAAUGCUUCAGCCUGGUGGGAUCGAAUUGACAACGUAAUGAAAGGGUGUGGUGCAAGUCCACCAGCAGGGGGAGAAGUAUUUUCCAGUUUGCCCCUCAUGCCCUAAAAUGGAAAAAUACAGCAAUCUUUUUACAACGUUGCAGGACUGUAAGAAAGCCAUAAAAACCGAAAGAAGGCAUUGGAAAUGUGAAUGGCACCUUGCUGACAGUGCAGGGACUGCAAUGUCAAUACGUAGGCAAUACGAAAGCACUCUUUGCAGAUCUGUAGUGACAUUAUGGUAAGGGUUAAUCUGGAAAGCGCCCAGGCUAUCCAGCGCAACUAACUCCUUGCAGUGAGCAAGCUUGAGUGAGUCUGAGUGUUUUCUUAUCGGAAGCACAUAGCUAAAUCUCCAAACAGAAAUACUACCCGCCAGGCAAAAGAAGGGGAGGGGAAGGAAAGAAGGAAUAAAGAAAAUCCCUAGUGCCUCCAACAGCAGCGAGGUUGAUGGGAGUUGUAGCCCAACAACAGCUAAAGUUUGGCCACCCCUGCAAUAAUUAAUAUAGUCUGCUGGUGCAGAACCCAAUGUGUUUAUUUAGAAAACCCAACACAUUUUGGGCAGCAGCUCUUUGGUAGGGGGCUGGAUAAAGACAUCAACAUGAAACCAAGGUAGUUGAAACUGAGGGUCAUUGAGAAAAUGACAAUUAAGUCGUAGCAGGUCUGCCAAUCUGAAGCUCACACUUGUUAUCUUUUUCUUCUUUCUCCAUCCUAGCAGCAAAGAAGCCCUUCCCAGAACAACUCUUGGCAUUGUUAUUGAGGCAAACGCAGAGGGCAAUCUCAGCCAGGUCAAUACACCUCAACACAAAUCAACAAAUCUCCCCUCUGGGUGGAUGGAAUUGUGGGCCCUAGACAAGGCAGGAAGAGGUUGAGGAGAGCAAGCCCACACCAGAUUCCCACUCCCUUUAAGGCUAGGUUCCCCAAAGCCUCAAGUCCAUUCAAGAUGUUGGGAGAAGACCCACCACCACCAAAGGUUUCUUCUGUGUGGAAGGCAGGAUAGUUCUCCAUACAGAGGAUUUUUGCCUUCACCUCUGAGGCAAAAAUCACCCCCUUCUUAUCAGGGAGGCAUUGUUGCACCACAAAGCUUCACCCCAGGCGUCAAAGCCACACCUUAGUUCACAGAACCCCUCUCAAACUAGUUUCUAAAGUUGUGGCCUGAGUUUGCAACCCUUUCCGCUGCCCCAUCUCUUGAUUCUGAGCCUGGGUGCAAGACUACACCUUCUCCUAGCACUGCAUGCAGUGUGGCGGGUGCUGGUUUUGCAUCCGUUCCUGGCAAGGUAUAAGAAACAAGCCUGGAAAACGCAAUGGACCAUGCUGUGACUGCAUCCUCAGUAGGGCUGUUCCUGGAUCGGCAUGUCUGAACCGGAUGAAUCAUUUUGGUGCCCCUCUAACGAGGCGCUGAAAUGAUAUGAGCACAUCCCUUAUCCUCGGUCCAUAGGGCCAUCCAGGGGGAUGAGGGCAUGCUAAUAAAAGCAACCCCCAACCUCUGCUGGUUUUCUGCAGGAACACCUUGGCAUCUGCUCACACACACCCCUGGGCGACAGUGUGGGAUUAGCUGGCCGCCUUUUGGGGCUGAGUAGGAAUUUUUCCCAUCCACCCAGAUUGGCCUGGAGGUGGCUGGUUUUUUGCCUACUCUGCACUGUUGCACUGGAAGGGGUUUUUGAUCUGGCCCAUGUUAGGAGCGGUGCCUUUAAAUAGAGUAGCCCCAUGGUCACCAGCACCGUGAUGGCAGGUCAGAGGAAGGGAUACGGUGCUGCACCCUAGGGGUGGCAGCUGCAUUGUGGCUUGGCUACACUGCAUCUCUUUGUUGAAUCUAGGUUAAUAAAGUUAUCGCCCUAGUUUUAACCCA
Hemicordylus capensis (graceful crag lizard) is the source of this 4413-nucleotide long non-coding RNA. RefSeq lists it as uncharacterized. The transcript has 4 exons. The record is from RefSeq and is a predicted model, not a curated record. NCBI's taxonomy places the organism in Eukaryota, Metazoa, Chordata, Lepidosauria, Squamata, Cordylidae.